GACGAACGCUGGCGGCGUGCCUAAUACAUGCAAGUUGAGCGCUGAAGGUUGGUACUUGUUCCAACUGGAUGAGCAGCGAACGGGUGAGUAACGCGUGGGGAAUCUGCCUUUGAGCGGGGGACAACAUUUGGAAACGAAUGCUAAUACCGCAUAAAGACUUUAAACACAAGUUUUAAGUUUGAAAGAUGCAAUUGCAUCACUUAAAGAUGAUCCCGCGUUGUAUUAGCGAGUUGGUGAGGUAAAGGCUCACCAAGGCGAUGAUACAUAGCCGACCUGAGAGGGUGAUCGGCCACAUUGGGACUGAGACACGGCCCAAACUCCUACGGGAGGCAGCAGUAGGGAAUCUUCGGCAAUGGACGAAAGUCUGACCGAGCAACGCCGCGUGAGUGAAGAAGGUUGUCGGAUCGUAAAACUCUGUUGGUAGAGAAGAACGUUGGUGAGAGUGGAAAGCUCAUCAAGUGACGGUAACUACCCAGAAAGGGACGGCUAACUACGUG
RNAcentral lists this ribosomal RNA (497 nucleotides) under uncultured bacterium. RNAcentral's name for it is "partial 16S ribosomal RNA". It matches the Rfam family "Bacterial small subunit ribosomal RNA", at positions 28 to 507 of the family's 1533-position model. The record is from RNAcentral.